Long non-coding RNA from Chinchilla lanigera (long-tailed chinchilla), 1662 nucleotides. RefSeq lists it as uncharacterized. The transcript is spliced from 3 exons. Lineage: Eukaryota; Metazoa; Chordata; Mammalia; Rodentia; Chinchillidae. The record is from RefSeq and is a predicted model, not a curated record.
CAUGGGGAGGUCACUAGGUCAGCCAAGGUGCUGCCCUCAGAGGGACUGAGGUGGCUGAGAUGGAGCCGGCCUUCCCACACUGAUUUGCUUCAUCCCCGUGGAGGCUCCCUUCACUCACAAUCCUCUUGUGAUGCUAUCCACCGUGAUGUGACACCGCCAGAGGGCCUCAUGAAAGCCAGCAAGGUUUGUGGACUGUCAGCCCCCAAAACUGAGCUAAAGAAACCUCUCUUGUUUAUGAAGCACCCAACCCCAACUAUUUUGUUUUAGUCACAAAAAACUGCCUAACACCCUCCCUGAUAUUUCCACACUAGUGCCUUCCUCUCCAGUCAGGGCAAUGAGGGAAACCACCCCAUGCCCCAUGACAAAGCCUUGUCUCCUACCUUCCUACCUUCUCCAUGUUGCCUGGCUCUCUCCACCUGUACAGGCACUGCAAUGAUGUGGACCACUGUGGCCUCUGGUGGACACAAGUGCUGUGGCCUCCUGCCUGGUUUCCCAGAGAGAGGGGAUAAAGGAAAGCGUCUCCUGAACUCCUAGAUCGACGCCCAGAAUCAGCUCGUACUGCCUGGGCUCCUUUCCUCUGUGACACUUAGCUCAGAGGGCUGGGUGGUCCUGAUCAACGUCUCUUGCCCUCAAGAGACAGAAAUGUCUGAAAAUGUGGAGAAUGUUCCUAUUCUACAUCCCAGCUGCAGCACAGUCCUAGACUGCAGACACACAGCUGACCUUGUUUGAACCUGUAAAGUAAGCAUUUCACAUGACGUCUGGGACUCACACUCCACUCCUGUGGGGCAGCGCUUCUCCAGCACAUAACUUCCCUCAGUAACACCCGGAGCCACUCCCAUGGAGUCCAAGUCCCACGCAUGAGCACAACCAAGUGAGGCGGGUCUGGAAUGAGAAACAAGCAGGGGGUGGAGGGGAGGGAUUGGUGGAGCAGCUUCAGGGGUCUUGGAAGGCCAUCAGGACACAGGGAAGGGUCACCCUCAGAAGAGGGUGGGCGGCUGGGCCUUCCUGUCUGCUUCUCUUCUCCCUUCUGCCAGUAGGUGCCCUCUCCGGCCCUCUCCGGCCCUCUCUGGCCCUCCUAUGGCGUGGCAAGGCCUGGCCAGCCUGGAAACCUGCCCUCUGUGUUCCAGCCCCACACGGUGGAGAGGCCAGGCCUUCCCCUCUCUGUGCGUGGUCUGCGCCAAGAUUGAGUCUUCUAGAGGCAGCUCCUUGAGCGGAAGCCACCAAGAACUUCACACAGGGGAGAGGAGUCCCUGAAGAGAGAUGGAGAGAACGCUUCACUCCACAGCAGAGUUGGUGCUGGCGGGGCCUGUCAUCAUGUGAAGAGCUAGGGGACACAGCUGGGCAGAGGUAGGAGCCAGAGGAAGACCUCAGGAAACCCAGUAGAGACCAGCAAAAAGCCAAGAGUGCAGGCAGAGGCAUGGCAGGAAGGACCUGGCAUCUACCCUGGUCCUCGCUGCCCCGAGGAGACAGACCAAGGACAAGCAAGCAGAGGGCCCAGGCAGUGAAGUGCAGCUCCUGAGCCUGCCUCUUCCCGGAUCUGACGUAAACGCGGCUCGACCCUGCAUGGCGCUGUGGUCAGCCGCAGAAUUCUGAGGGUGCAGCUUGGUUUCGUCAUCUUCCAGUGUCUGCUGAAAGCAGAACAUUCAGGGAUGGGGCGUGGGU